This 331-nucleotide unclassified non-coding RNA is filed under the name soil metagenome. RNAcentral's name for it is "partial contains 5.8S ribosomal RNA, internal transcribed spacer 2, and large subunit ribosomal RNA". The stretch from base 1 to 119 matches the Rfam family "5.8S ribosomal RNA", at positions 35 to 154 of the family's 154-position model. The record is from RNAcentral.
GAUGAAGAACGCAGCGAAAUGCGAUACGUAAUGUGAAUUGCAAAUUCAGUGAAUCAUCGAAUCUUUGAACGCACAUUGCGCCCGCCAGUAUUCUGGCGGGCAUGCCUGUUCGAGCGUCAUUUCAACCCUCAAGCACAGCUUGGUGUUGGGACUCGCGUUAAUUCGCGUUCCCCAAAUUGAUUGGCGGUCACGUCGAGCUUCCAUAGCGUAGUAGUAAAACCCUCGUUACUGGUAAUCGUCGCGGCCACGCCGUUAAACCCCAACUUCUGAAUGUUGACCUCGGAUCAGGUAGGAAUACCCGCUGAACUUAAGCAUAUCAAUAAGCGGAGGA